RNAcentral lists this ribosomal RNA (253 nucleotides) under uncultured bacterium. Its description in RNAcentral is "partial 16S ribosomal RNA". It matches the Rfam family "Bacterial small subunit ribosomal RNA", at positions 524 to 776 of the family's 1533-position model. The record is from RNAcentral.
UACGUAGGGUGCGAGCGUUGUCCGGAAUUAUUGGGCGUAAAGGGCUCGUAGGCGGUUUGUCGCGUCGGGAGUGAAAACCCAGGGCUCAACCCUGGGCCUGCUUCCGAUACGGGCAGACUAGAGGUAUGCAGGGGAGAAUGGAAUUCCUGGUGUAGCGGUGAAAUGCGCAGAUAUCAGGAGGAACACCGGUGGCGAAGGCGGUUCUCUGGGCAUUACCUGACGCUGAGGAGCGAAAGUGUGGGGAGCGAACAGG